UUUCUGCAAGGUGCUGCAUGGUUGUCGUCAGCUCGUGCCGUGAGGUGUCGGGUUAAGUCCCAUAACGAGCGCAACCCUUAUCGUUAGUUGCCAUCUGGUAAUGCAGGGGACUCUAGCGAAACUGCCACCGUAAGGUGAGAGGAAGUGGGGAUGACGUCAAAUCAGCAGGCCCUUAUGUCCAGGGCUACACACGUGUUACAAUGGUCGGUACAGAGGGCAGCUACCUGGUGACAGGAUGCUAAUCUCAAAAACCGGUCUCAGUUCGGAUCGAAGUCUGCAACUCGACUUCGUGAAGCUGGAUUCGCUAGUAAUCGCGCAUCAGCUAUGGCGCGGUGAAUACGUUCCCGGGCCUU
This 353-nucleotide ribosomal RNA is filed under the name uncultured Sphingobacteriales bacterium. RNAcentral's name for it is "bacterial SSU rRNA". It matches the Rfam family "Bacterial small subunit ribosomal RNA", at positions 1028 to 1382 of the family's 1533-position model. The record is from RNAcentral. Lineage: Bacteria; Pseudomonadati; Bacteroidota; Sphingobacteriia; Sphingobacteriales.